UGUGGGAGCAAGAUCCCGGAGAUGGAUUCUGAGACAUGAAUCCAGGCCCUACGGGGCGCAGCAGGCGCGCAAACUUUACAAUGCGAGCAAUCGUGAUAAGGAAACCCUGAGUGCCUGUCGAUGCAGGCUGUUCAUAUAUCUAAAUCAUAUGUGAAGAAAGGGCAGGGCAAGACCGGUGCCAGCCGCCGCGGUAAUACCGGCUGCUCGAGUGAUGGCCACUAUUACUGGGUUUAAAGCGUCCGUAGCUUGACUGUUAGGUCUCUUGGGAAAUCUU
RNAcentral lists this ribosomal RNA (274 nucleotides) under uncultured Methanocorpusculum sp. Its description in RNAcentral is "partial 16S ribosomal RNA". It matches the Rfam family "Archaeal small subunit ribosomal RNA", at positions 275 to 553 of the family's 1478-position model. The record is from RNAcentral. Lineage: Archaea; Methanobacteriati; Methanobacteriota; Methanomicrobia; Methanomicrobiales; Methanocorpusculaceae.